Non-coding RNA from Melanomma pulvis-pyrius CBS 109.77, 91 nucleotides. NCBI's taxonomy places the organism in Eukaryota, Fungi, Ascomycota, Dothideomycetes, Pleosporales, Melanommataceae. The record is from the annotation of a GenBank genome assembly.
GACGCUUUAGCUCAAUUGGGAGAGCGCCAGACUGAAGUGAACUUUGGUUAUUAAUAUCUGGAGGUACAGUGUUCGAUCCACUGAAGCGUCA